CGGCAGGAUGUGCAUUGUACAGGUACGCCGCAAGCGGCGACCGCACAGUGCAAAGGGCUUACUUGCCCUGUGGGCUCGAUGCUGUCCUGCCCUGCGAGGCU
Molecule: non-coding RNA, 101 nt
Organism: Halomonadaceae bacterium T82-2
Lineage: Bacteria; Pseudomonadati; Pseudomonadota; Gammaproteobacteria; Oceanospirillales; Halomonadaceae
Source: Rfam